GUGCUCCCUGCCAUAGCACAUACACUAAAACUGAAACAGAGCAAUCAGCACAGACCCUGCGCACAGAUGACCUGCAAAUUCAUGAAGCAUUCCAUAUUUUU
Molecule: small nuclear RNA, 101 nt
Filed under: Suricata suricatta (meerkat)
Lineage: Eukaryota; Metazoa; Chordata; Mammalia; Carnivora; Herpestidae
Source: RNAcentral